GUGGUCACUCAAUGGUCACUCAAUGGGCAGUAUAAGGGCAGUGGUCACUCAGUGGUCACUCAUUGGUCAGUGGUCACUCACUUCCGGCCGAGCUCUCUCAGGUCGUGCCCCCAUGACCGAUGCUCAGUGGUCACUCCCGUGGUCACUCCUGUGGUCACUCAGUGAUCACUCAUUGGUCAGUGUUUACUCAUUGGUCACUCAUUCGUCAUUGGUCACUCAUUGGUCACUCAAUGGUCAAUGGUCACUCAAUGGUCACUCAGCAGUCAAUGGUCACUCAAUGGUCACUCAAUGGUCAAUGGUCACUCAAUGGUCACUCAUUCAUCAUUGGUCACUCAGUGGUCACUCAAUGGUCGCUCUGGGAUGUUCUGUAUUGGUCAAUGGUCACUCAAUGGUCACUCAUUGGUCACUCAGUGGUCACUCAAUGGUCACUCAUUGGUCACUCAGUGGUCACUCAGUGGUCACUCACUUCCGGCCGAGCUCUCUCAGGUCGUGCCCCCAUGACCGAUGCUCAGUGGUCACUCCAGUGGUCACUCCUGUGGUCACUCCCGUGGUCACUCCCAUGGUCACUCCUGUGGUCACUCAUUGGUCAAUGGUCACUCAAUGGUCACUCAGCAGUCAAUGGUCACUCAGGGGUCACUCAGUGGUCACUCAGUGGUCACUCAGUGGUCACUCAGUGGUCAGUGGUCACUCAGUGGUCACUCAGUGGUCAGUGUGGUCACUCUGUGGUCACUCAGUGGUCACUCAGUGGUCACUCAAUGGGCAGUAUAAGGGCAAUAUAUGGGCAGUGGUCACUCAGUGG
RNAcentral lists this long non-coding RNA (799 nucleotides) under Zonotrichia albicollis (white-throated sparrow). RNAcentral's name for it is "lncRNA (ENSZALG00000000458.1)". Lineage: Eukaryota; Metazoa; Chordata; Aves; Passeriformes; Passerellidae. The record is from RNAcentral.